This 253-nucleotide ribosomal RNA is filed under the name uncultured bacterium. Its description in RNAcentral is "partial 16S ribosomal RNA". It matches the Rfam family "Bacterial small subunit ribosomal RNA", at positions 524 to 776 of the family's 1533-position model. The record is from RNAcentral.
UACGUAGGGUGCGAGCGUUGUCCGGAAUUACUGGGCGUAAAGAGCUCGUAGGUGGUUUGUCGCGUUGUUCGUGAAAACUCACAGCUCAACUGUGGGCGUGCGGGCGAUACGGGCAGACUGGAGUACUGCAGGGGAGACUGGAAUUCCUGGUGUAGCGGUGGAAUGCGCAGAUAUCAGGAGGAACACCAAUAGCGAAGGCAGCUCGCUGGGACGUUACUGACACUGAGGCGCGAAAGCGUGGGGAGCGACCAGG